This 342-nucleotide unclassified non-coding RNA is filed under the name soil metagenome. Its description in RNAcentral is "partial contains 5.8S ribosomal RNA, internal transcribed spacer 2, and large subunit ribosomal RNA". The stretch from base 1 to 120 matches the Rfam family "5.8S ribosomal RNA", at positions 35 to 154 of the family's 154-position model. The record is from RNAcentral.
GAUGAAGAACGUAGCGAAAUGCGAUAAGUAAUGUGAAUUGCAGAAUUCAGUGAAUCAUCGAAUCUUUGAACGCACAUUGCGCCCGCCAGCACUCUGUCGGGCAUGCCUGUUCGAACGUCAUUUCAACCAUCAAGCCCCCAGGGGCUUGUGCUGGGGCCCUGCGGCUGCCCGCAGGCCCUGAAAACCAGUGGCGGGCUCGCUAGUCACACCGAGCGCAGUAGCACAUCUCGCUCAGGGCGUGCGGCGGGCUCCUGCCGUGAAACCCCCCACUGUAACCCCAAAGGUUGACCUCGGAUCAGGUAGGAAUACCCGCUGAACUUAAGCAUAUCAAUAAGCGGAGGA